UACAGAGGUCCCAAGCGUUGUUCGGAUUCACUGGGCGUAAAGGGUGCGUAGGUGGUGAGGUAAGUCGGAUGUGAAAUCUCCGGGCUCAACCCGGAAAUGGCAUUGGAAACUACCUUGCUUGAGGAUUUGAGGGGGGAUUGGAAUACUUGGUGUAGCAGUGAAAUGCGUAGAGAUCCGGCGGAACACCGGUGGUGAAGGCGGUCUCCUGGGCCGAGGGCCGACGCUGAGGCGCGAGAGCGUGGGGAGCGAACCGG
This 254-nucleotide ribosomal RNA is filed under the name uncultured bacterium. Its description in RNAcentral is "partial 16S ribosomal RNA". It matches the Rfam family "Bacterial small subunit ribosomal RNA", at positions 524 to 776 of the family's 1533-position model. The record is from RNAcentral.